Molecule: ribosomal RNA, 468 nt
Filed under: uncultured bacterium
Lineage: Bacteria
Description: partial 16S ribosomal RNA
Rfam family: Bacterial small subunit ribosomal RNA
Source: RNAcentral
GACGAACGCUGGCGGCGUGCUUAACACAUGCAAGUCGAACGGAAAGGCCCUGCUUUUGUGGUGUGCUCGAGUGGCGAACGGGUGCGUAACACGUGAGUAACCUGCCCUUGUCUUUGGGAUAACUUCAGGAAACUGGGGCUAAUACCGGAUCGGAGCUCCUGCUGCGUGGUGGGCGUUGGAAAGUCUCGGCGGUUGGGGAUGGACUAGCGGCUUAUCAGCUUGCUGGUGGGGUAGUGGCUUACCCAGGCUUUGACGGGUCGCCGGCCUGAGAGGGUGACCGGCCACAAUGGGACUGAGAUACGGAGCAGACUCCAACGGGAGGCAGCAGGGGGGAAUAUUGCACAAUGAGCGGGAGCCUGAUGCAGAAACGCCGCGUGCGGGAUGACGGCCUUCGGGUUGUAAACCGCUUUCGCCUGUGACGAAGCGUGAGUGACGGUAAUGGGUAAAGAAGCACCGGCUAACUACGUG